UUCAUAGAGUGUAAAGGCAUAAGGGAGCUUGACUGCGAGACCUACAAGUCGAGCAGGGUCGAAAGACGGACUUAGUGAUCCGGUGGUUCCGCAUGGAAGGGCCAUCGCUCAACGGAUAAAAGCUACCCCGGGGAUAACAGGCUUAUCUCCCCCAAGAGUUCACAUCGACGGGGAGGUUUGGCACCUCGAUGUCGGCUCAUCGCAUCCUGGGGCUGUAGUCGGUCCCAAGGGUUGGGCUGUUCGCCCAUUAAAGCGGUACGCGAGCUGGGUUCAGAACGUCGUGAGACAGUUCGGUCCCUAUCCGUCGUGGGCGUAGGAAAUUUGAGAGGAGCUGUCCUUAGUACGAGAGGACCGGGAUGGACAUACCUCUGGUGUACCAGUUGUCGUGCCAACGGCAUAGCUGGGUAGCUAUGUGUGGACGGGAUAAGUGCUGAAAGCAUCUAAGCAUGAAGCCCCCCUCAAGAUGAGAUUUCCCAACUUCGGUUAUAAGAUCCCUCAA
This 499-nucleotide ribosomal RNA is filed under the name Staphylococcus aureus. RNAcentral's name for it is "partial 23S ribosomal RNA". It matches the Rfam family "Bacterial large subunit ribosomal RNA", at positions 2341 to 2841 of the family's 2925-position model. The record is from RNAcentral. Lineage: Bacteria; Bacillati; Bacillota; Bacilli; Caryophanales; Staphylococcaceae.